This 437-nucleotide ribosomal RNA is filed under the name uncultured Treponema sp. Its description in RNAcentral is "partial 16S ribosomal RNA". It matches the Rfam family "Bacterial small subunit ribosomal RNA", at positions 341 to 792 of the family's 1533-position model. The record is from RNAcentral. Lineage: Bacteria; Pseudomonadati; Spirochaetota; Spirochaetia; Treponematales; Treponemataceae.
ACGGAAGGCAGCAGUGGGGAAUAUUGGGCAAUGGGCGAAAGCCUGACCCAGCAACGCCGCGUGAAGGAAGAAGGUCUUCGGAUUGUAAACUUCUUUUAUGAGGGACGAAGGACGUGACGGUACCUCAUGAAUAAGCAACGGCUAAUUACGUGCCAGCAGCCGCGGUAACACGUAAGUUGCGAGCGUUGUUCGGAAUUAUUGGGCGUAAAGGGCAUGUAGGCGGUUUUGCAAGCUUGGUGUGAAAUCCCGGAGCUUAACUCCGGAAUUGCGUUGAGAACUGCAUAACUAGAGUCACUGAGGGGCAAUCAGAAUUCCAGGUGUAGGGGUGAAAUCUGUAGAUAUCUGGAAGAAUACCAAUGGCGAAGGCAGGUUACCAGCAGAUGACUGACGCUGAGGUGCGAAGGUGCGGGGAGCAAACAGGAUUAGAUACCCUGGUA